ACGGUUACAUCAUGUUCAAACACCAGCUCCUGUGCGAUCACCAAAGUUAAGCAACUUCAAAUCUGGUCAGUACCUAGAUGGGUGACUGCUUGGGAAUACCAGAUGCUGUAAG
Molecule: non-coding RNA, 112 nt
Organism: Acanthosepion pharaonis
Lineage: Eukaryota; Metazoa; Mollusca; Cephalopoda; Sepiida; Sepiidae
Source: the annotation of a GenBank genome assembly